RNAcentral lists this ribosomal RNA (356 nucleotides) under uncultured bacterium. RNAcentral's name for it is "bacterial SSU rRNA". It matches the Rfam family "Bacterial small subunit ribosomal RNA", at positions 1 to 334 of the family's 1533-position model. The record is from RNAcentral.
GACGUGACUUCAGAGUUUGAUCCUGGCUCAGGAUGAACGCUGGCGGCGUGCUUAACACAUGCAAGUCGAACGGGGUGCCUUUGAUUGAGACUUCGGUUGAUUGAUUAGGUUACCUAGUGGCGGACUGGUGCGUAACACGUGAGUAACCUGCCUCGGAGUGUGGAAUAACACAGCGAAAGUUGUGCUAAUACCGCAUAAUGUAGUUGCACCGCAUGGUGCUGACUACCAAAGAUUUAUUGCUCUGAGAUGGACUCGCGGCCGAUUAGCUAGUUGGUGAGGUAACGGCUCACCAAGGCGACGAUCGGUAGCCGGACUGAGAGGUUGACCGGCCACAUUGGGACUGAGAUACGGCCCAG